CCUACGGGCGGCAGCAGUGGGGAAUAUUGGACAAUGGGGGCAACCCUGAUCCAGCCAUGCCGCGUGUGUGAAGAAGGCCCUCGGGUUGUAAAGCACUUUCAGUGAGGAAGAACGCCUGGUGGUUAAUACCCAUCAGGAAAGACAUCACUCACAGAAGAAGCACCGGCUAACUCCGUGCCAGCAGCCGCGGUAAUACGGAGGGUGCGAGCGUUAAUCGGAAUUACUGGGCGUAAAGCGCGCGUAGGUGGCUUGAUAAGCCGGUUGUGAAAGCCCCGGGCUCAACCUAGGAACGGCAUCCGGAACUGUCAAGCUAGAGUGCAGGAGAGGAAGGUAGAAUUCCCGGUGUAGCGGUGAAAUGCGUAGAGAUCGGGAGGAAUACCAGUGGCGAAGGCGGCCUUCUGGACUGACACUGACACUGAGGUGCGAAAGCGUGGGUAGCAAACAGGAUUAGAUACCCCAGUAGUC
Molecule: ribosomal RNA, 465 nt
Filed under: Vreelandella stevensii
Lineage: Bacteria; Pseudomonadati; Pseudomonadota; Gammaproteobacteria; Oceanospirillales; Halomonadaceae
Description: partial 16S ribosomal RNA
Rfam family: Bacterial small subunit ribosomal RNA
Source: RNAcentral